UGGUAAAAUAUAUUAAUAGUCCAUAUAAUAGGAAAUUCAGAAGGAUGGAUGAGUGAUCUAGUUCUUAAAAGUGGUUAAUUAGAGAAUUACGAUUAAAAUCUAGAGAAUCAGAGGAAAAUAUAUAGGAGUUGUAGAAGUUAAUUAAGGUGCCAUCGCUGUGAUAGUGUGAGCAGGGUAAGCUUGGUGCUACCUCUUUUAUUUUAUUUUUUAUUUUCUUUAAAUAAGAGGAUUGAGAGUUUCUGAACAUUGUGAAGUGAAUUAUGGAAUGGAAAUGUGAUUGAUAUUAUUUGAGAAGAAGAAAGAUUGAAUGCUAAAAUCUGAUUGUAGUUCAGCAGAGAGAAUGAGUCUGUGUUUGUGUGAAAUAUCGUAAUGUGAAUGGAAGUUCUCUGUGAAGAAUUCCAGUGAUUGGAAUGAAGGUAAUUGUGUGCUGAAAGCUAUGAGGGUGCAGUAUUAUAGUUGAAGAUUAUGAAGGUGAAUAUAUUGGUGGAAAUAGCAAUUAUUGGGUUGACUGAAUUGCUAUAAGGAAGAGAACGAUAAGGUGAAAGAGGAGAUUAUAGUUUCUUUGUGUGUUCAGAUAUUAGAAAUAGAGACGAUACAUUCAG
Molecule: long non-coding RNA, 602 nt
Filed under: Physcomitrium patens
Lineage: Eukaryota; Viridiplantae; Streptophyta; Bryopsida; Funariales; Funariaceae
Description: long non-coding RNA (PPAT_LNC007833)
Source: RNAcentral